GAUACUGUUGGAUAAUUGGAGACAAAGUGAAAUGUAUAUAGUUCACUUUUCUGUUUUUGGAAUGCUGAUUAUGCUGUGCUACAAGACCAGUGCAGUACUGCUGGUGAGACUUUUUGUCAACAAAGUGGAAUGUAUAUAGUUCAUGUUUCUGUUUCUGAGUAUGCAGAGGUACAAGACCAGUGCAGUGCAGUCAGUAAGUGUAAACAUUUUAUUUAACUUUCUUUGUUAAUUGCUAUUAGUAUUGCUGUUAUAAUACAAAUGUAUUAGGGUGUGUAUGGGUUGUAUGUCGUCGUCCUCUUUCACUGUAACCAGUCACCACUCUUCCUUAGACUUACCAAUCACCACGUUGCUCUCUUUCACUGUAACCAAUCACCACUCUUCCUCAGACUUACUGUUCAUCUUGUGGCUGUCUUUCACUGUAACCAAUCACCACUCUUCCUCAGACUUACCAAUCAUCUCAUGGCUCUCUUUCACUGUAACCAAUCACCACUCUUCCUCAGACUUACUGUUCAUCUUGUGGCUGUCUUUCACUGUAACCAAUCACCACUCUUCCUCAGACUUACCGAUCAUCUCAUGGCUCUCUUUCACUGUAACCAGUCAUCACUCUUCCUCAGACUUACCAAUCACCACGUGGCUCUCUUUCACUGUAACCAAUCACCACUCUUCCUCAGACUUACUGUUCAUCUUGUGGCUGUCUUUCACUGUAACCAGUCACCACUCUUCCUCAGACUUACCGAUCAUCUCAUGGCUCUCUUUCACUGUAACCAGUCACCACUCUUCCUCAGACUUACUGUUCAUCUUGUGGCUGUCUUUCACUGUAACCAGUCACCACUGGAUUACUGGGAUUCAUGCGUUUUCAGACCUUUAGCAGAGAUCCCCACAACAGCUCAAGAGAAGUGAAGGUCAGCGGGCAUCCAAUCCCAUAACCAAGCCAGUUGCCUCUUUAUAUCCAUAAGCUCUACAUCAGAUGCUGGCCUUAGAGGACAAAGGUCUGUCCUGCAGACGUCCGUUUGAAUGCCCCAGGUUUGCUGUAGCAUUGUGAGGAGCACCAGAGCUUGUGGUAUCUCCAGGAAAGACAGGCAGCUUUGCACAGACCGGACAUGGACACACGCUUCUCUGACAGUACAUCAUGCAGCUGUGCCUCUACCAGGUAUUCACGUCCCUGGAAAGAUUCAUCAGCAUCCUUAACACGAUAGAGGGACCAAAGAUCCAACCCUCAGAGACCAAGAAGCAUUAAAAAAAUGCAACCUCCAUUUGAGAUGUCUUCAUAUUACUCAUCUCAAUCAGUAUUACACAAGAACAAGAAGCCAGAGUGAACACUGGGAUAGAGGCCAUCAUAGUCCCCUGACUGCAGAAACACACAUAGGGGUGACUCGGCUAUACAAUUGAAGACAAACGCUCACCCAACAUAUGAAAGGAUAGUCAUCAUUGAGCCAGAUUUCUGUCCGCUUCACAAAAAGUGAAGACAUGAGGUUAAUUCUGAGGUUGUUUGUUUUUGAGCUUGUCUGUAGUUUAAGCUGAGUAUUGUUUCCAUGCUGCGUGUCUUCUAGCCCGUCAUGGAAAGGAUUUUUAAUGGAUGAUGAUUGAACUCCCUGUUAUCAUCUUCCAGAUUUUCCAAGCAUUCCUGCCCUGGGUUCAAGUACAAAGCCUUUUUUUUGUCAACAUUGGCAUCAAAGAAAGAAUUCACCUUUUUCUCUAUUGCUUCCAGUCCUUUGUUAAUUAAAUCCAAUUGGAAUGGUGCACGCUGUUGAGGUUAAGUUAAUUCAAAUAUGCUGUGAGUUCACUUCAGUGUUCUGAGGUCUAUGUUUCAAAUAACAUUCUUUUGAAAAACAUUCCCUUUAUGAUUAAAGGGGGUUUCUCAUAUUAGGUUGCUUUAUGACAAGUUCAUCUUUUCUAUUUUGGGUUACUGAUACUGAACCCCACUCCUAAUGCCUUUGUGUGCUGUGUAAAACGCUGGGAGUCUGCAUUGCAUGCUGUCUGUUAGUUUUAAUGCAGAUAAGCAAAAACGUUUUCCUUGAGAAAAAUCAAAGCCUUCCUACCAUAUUGAAAGAUUAUGUAGUUAGUACCAUAUUUAGAGCAGGGAUCAAAUACUGGCACACACGUCACAAAUAACUGGCUCAAUUCCUUAAAUAUUUUGGGUUUGGAAAUGGGUGUUCUUUUCCUAAGACUGAAGUCGGCUGUUUCUGUCCUGUAGAUCUGACAUAUUUCAUUUAAGUGGAGUAACACAUGAAGUUAAAACUGUGGGCGUUGUUCACAAUUUUAAGGUCUCAUUAAAGAAUGCUUUAUUCUCCUAUCUCUUAAGAAAACUAGCGGCAGAAUGGGGUCAGGUUAAAUGGGUGCAUUGAUUCUAAUGUAACCUGGCCACAUACAUGAAAGUGUUAGAAGACAGAGAGAGCAGGCUGUAAGAACAGUAUGUAAACUUGUUUGGGGGUGCUAAAGGCACACAGGCCUGUGGCCGCAACGCAUUUGCUUUGACCUGGAAUCAGCUUUUUUAAAUUUUUGUUUCGAAUCGUCUAGCAAAAUGAAUUUUUGUAAAUAAAACACGAAAGCUAGUGUUUGGUCAGUGCUUGACAUUUUUCUGUUUUUCUUCCCCCACAUGUAUAAAUGCUCCUGGAUCAGUAUGCAAAUCAGUGCAGGGAACUCCUGGUAAAAGGACAGCUGUUACAAAGAGAUUAUUUCAUUGUUAAGAUGGGCCUGAACAUAGAUUACUUUUGCUUGUAUUUUGUUUGUUUUGUUUUUAUUUGUUAAUUAUCAACAAAAGUCCACUUAAACUUAAUUUUUCUGUUCCUAUAUAAUACUUUAGCAAGUAUUGUUAAAGAACCAAGCUGCCACAUAUUUAGCCAUGCAUCCUUAAUUUUAGAUUAUAAACAGGAACCUAAAGUAAUAAAUUGAACGAUAUGCAAUCCCUUUUGAAAUGAAUAUAAAGCUUGAGAGGUUUUCAGGCAGGAAAUCUAUAGUAUCAUUAAUACAAGUGCCUAGUACAUUCAUUGGUCAAUCUACAAGCCAAUUACAGGAGAAGUUCCCAUCAACCUAUCAGUUAUAUAAACCUAUUUCGCAAACUCAGUCCUGCCGUGCUUUCAACCACCUCCUCCCCAACCACUACCACCUCAUUCCCAGCCAGGGGCGUCAUUUGCUAUAGGGCAGGUGGAGCAGUUGCCCCACCAACUUUGGUUUGCCCCCCCAGACGAUCUAUAUGACAUUAUGUCUUCCACUUUUUGACCCCCCCCCCCCCUCCCGACACAUAAUAUAAUCACAUAUAACUUGACACAUUUUUUUUCAGUGAUCUUAGAGUAAUGUCACUAGAUGCUUCUGUAAAAUGGUUAUAA
Long non-coding RNA from Acipenser ruthenus (sterlet), 3326 nucleotides. RefSeq lists it as uncharacterized. The transcript has 3 exons. The record is from RefSeq and is a predicted model, not a curated record. NCBI's taxonomy places the organism in Eukaryota, Metazoa, Chordata, Actinopteri, Acipenseriformes, Acipenseridae.